AUAACUUCUGGAAACGGAUGCUAAACCGGAUAGGUAGCAGACAAGCAUUUGACUGCUAUUAAAGUGGCUAAGGCCAUGAACAUGGAUGGACCUGCGGUGCAUUAGCUAGUUGGUGAGGUAACGGCCCACCAAGGCGACGAUGCAUAGCCGGCCUGAGAGGGCGGACGGCCACAUUGGGACUGAGACACGGCCCAAACUCCUACGGGAGGCAGCAGUAGGGAAUUUUCGUCAAUGGGGGGAACCCUGAACGAGCAAUGCCGCGUGAGUGAGGAAGGUCUUCGGAUCGUAAAGCUCUGUUGUAAGAGAAAAACGGCACUCAUAGGGAAUGAUGAGUGAGUGAUGGUAUCUUACCAGAAAGUCACGGCUAACUACGUGCCAGCAGCCGCGGUAAUACGUAGGUGGCGAGCGUUAUCCGGAAUGAUUGGGCGUAAAGGGUGUGUAGGUGGCAGAUCAAGUCUGGAGUAAAAGGUAUGGGCUCAACCCGUACUGCUCUGGAAACUGAUCAGCUAGAGAACAGAAGAGGACGGCGGAACUCCAUGUGUAGCGGUAAAAUGCGUAGAUAUAUGGAAGAACACCGGUGGCGAAGGCGGCCGUCUGGUCUGGAUUCUGACACUGAAGCACGAAAGCGUGGGGAGCAAAUAGGAUUAGAUACCCUAGUAGUCCACGCCGUAAAC
Molecule: ribosomal RNA, 674 nt
Filed under: uncultured bacterium
Lineage: Bacteria
Description: bacterial SSU rRNA
Rfam family: Bacterial small subunit ribosomal RNA
Source: RNAcentral